Lolium rigidum is the source of this 1198-nucleotide long non-coding RNA. RefSeq lists it as uncharacterized. Lineage: Eukaryota; Viridiplantae; Streptophyta; Magnoliopsida; Poales; Poaceae. The record is from RefSeq and is a predicted model, not a curated record. The transcript has 9 exons.
GCCCCCGACGACCUGCUCCUCCAUUGGCUCCCCACCUCGGAUCCAGCCGCCGGGGUGAGCUCCGGGCUGACGGUACCAGGAAAGUCCAUUCCCUUUGGUUUUUUCGAGUAGCCAUUUAGGCAUGUGGCACGGUGUAAUCAUACUAAGGAGUUAUCAUGCAAAAUUAGCAUAUAUAGAUAGAUGUGAACUGGUAUCACUUUUAUUGAAAAUCAUCCUUAGAAAAUCCUGUAGCACACACUGAAAGUCUUGCUCUUUACAUUGCAACAUGUAAAAAAUCCUUGAUAUUGUUUGUUAUUCAUAUGUUCAUCUUGCUGAUUUAGGUUUCUGGAGUUCAAGGGGAUGGUUGGUUGCUGCAGAUCGGCGCUGAAAUCGAAACAACAGGACAAGGCUGAUGCGGAGACGACAAAGUGUACACGCAGAUGACGCUGCGGCCACUGAACCCGGAUUUCACAUAGAAGCCUCCUUCUCAGGAACUCAUUACACAGGAUAUCCGUGCUUAAUUCUCUUUGCUUCUUGUUGGGGUGUUGCGCCUUUACUCCCAAAUUUUUACAGUUGUCUGCUCAUAGGUACCGAGCUGGGUGAUGAAGCACUUUAGGCACUGUACUUGCAAGCUCACCCGUAUGGCGAGUGGCUCCAGAGACAGAAGAUGUACCUAGAAGACAUUGUAGAAUCUGUCCCAAAAACUGACAAAGGUUUGUUUCAGGUGUUUUCUGCUAGGCUCUAAGUUGUUAUUUUGAGGUGUGUUUCAGGUGUUUUCUGUAGGCUCUAAGUUAUUAAAUUGUUGGAAGUUGAGGGCAAGGAAAAAAUCAUGAAAGAAAAAUUGAGCAGCACUAUGGAAACCAAGUCUUUGAAAAAGUUGUUAGAAGAUUGGUUGGUCUAUAUGGCUAAAGGUAUACACGGUUUACUGUUGGAAAAUGGUUUACGCGGUUUAGUGAUGAAAAAUAAAGACGGCGAUGGUUGUGAGGGGUCAUAUGCUAAUCUAAUCAGCUGCACAUGAAGACGCAAUUCAAGUCUUGAAGGAUUGAGUUACCAAAUGGGAGCCGGAAUAACCACCAAUUGGUGGAAAUCAUGGAAUGGAGAAGUUGAGCUAAAGGGUUGAGUUGAUUUUGAAUGGCUGGCAUAGGAAACGUUAUCCGUAGUCCUGCACUUUUGGCCCUCUCAUGUCGACAUGCAGUCACUAUGAGUACCUUCCGAGGUU